AGUCAUUCAUAUUUCCAUCUAGAUUCACAUUUAGAGGACUAUACAGACUCUGUAUGCCUUUUAAAUCUACUUUCUAAUAGAGGAAGUCAUUGGCUGAACCUCAAGAGAAGAAUUAUCCAGAGAACAUUGUCAAGGAUGACACCGAAGGAGGGGAUAUGGCUGAGGAGAAGGGAUCACAAAAGAGUCAUUGCACAGUGCCAAGAAGCACAAAGUUAACCUGCACACUGCCUAGGAGCACAAGGUCAAGGAGACCAACCAAUCCCAGUGGAAUUGUAAUUUUAGGAUAAGAAACUUGCUACCUCCCUGAAUCAAGAAAGUGAACUGUUUGGAGAAGGUGCCAUAAAGAAGCCUGCAGAAACCACACAUUGCAUCAAAAGAUCCAGGAUGAACUUUGGGAUGUAGUGAAUUGAGCUGUGGGGGUGUUGAAUGCAUUUAUUUUGAAUGUACACUCCUGUGUCAAAGGAGACUUCCCCCUUACUGCCUUUUUGUCAAUGAGCUUAGCAAUCAUUGGUUUUGUUCUUUUUCUCUUUUAUUUCUCUCUUAUACUUUCCCCUUAGAAACUGCAAUAUUGUAUGUACCUCUAGUUAAAGAUCUUUAGAAAUAUAAGUUGGUUAUGUGUAUUGAUUCAUUGGGGAAACUAGGCAUGUAAAUCUGGGAUAUUUCUACAUGGUCAUUUCCCAAUGGAAUCACUUGGGAUUGUGUAAUUAGAAUUUGCUCCCCAGGACUCUCUUUCACAGCAUCCCAUUUGCAUAUUUAUGCUAACAUACUAACAUAGGGAAGAUAUAACUUUUGUGCAGCUCCUCCCUCUCUCUCUUUUCCCAGGAAUAUAGUUUAUGGAGUUUUGGGGAGAGCCAGGCAGGAGAUGUUUACUCAUGUGGUUUUUUUUUAAAGUUUUAUUUUGUUCUUUUAUUUCUUCUACUUCAAGUGAUUAUUAAUAAAUAUUA
RNAcentral lists this long non-coding RNA (944 nucleotides) under Monodelphis domestica (gray short-tailed opossum). RNAcentral describes it as "lncRNA (ENSMODG00000031348.2)". Lineage: Eukaryota; Metazoa; Chordata; Mammalia; Didelphimorphia; Didelphidae. The record is from RNAcentral.